UUGAAUCCAAUUCAUAAAGGUGCUUGUGUCUUGAACAUGAGUUAAAAGGGAAGCCGGUUGAAUUCCGGCGCGGUCCCGCCACUGUAAGUGAGAGUCAUCUGAAAAAGCCAUUGAAGCGAUGCUUCGGGAAGAUUCAGAAGGCGAUGAUCACGAGCCAGGAGACCUGCCUUUAUGCGGAUGCCCGU
RNAcentral lists this non-coding RNA (185 nucleotides) under Planococcus rifietoensis. The record is from RNAcentral. Lineage: Bacteria; Bacillati; Bacillota; Bacilli; Caryophanales; Caryophanaceae.